Molecule: long non-coding RNA, 883 nt
Organism: Cryptotermes secundus
Lineage: Eukaryota; Metazoa; Arthropoda; Insecta; Blattodea; Kalotermitidae
Exons: 3
Source: RefSeq, a predicted model, not a curated record
GCAGUGUAACACGAACAGGUUAUCCUUCUUGUGUUCACGUGAGUUCUUGAGUUUUUGAGUGUGUGAUUGUGUAGAGUGUGAGCAGUAGAGAGAGGCUUCAGUUUGCAUGUUGGACUGAUAAGAUUUAAGAAAGGACUGCAUUACGCUUGUUUAAGAACGCGGUGCUGCGGAGAAUGUUUGGACCUAGGAGCUGGGAAGUAACAGCCGGCUGGAGGAGAGAGCAUGCUGAAGUGCCUCACUAACUGUUGACGUACCGUUUCCCAAUAUUAUUCACGUCAACAAAUCAAUUAGGAAGAUAAGGGUAGAACAUUUGAGGGAUGAGAAAUGUAUAUAUAAUUCUGGUGGACAUAUCCGGAGGGAAGAGGCCACUUUUAGUCCUAGGAAUAGAAGGAAAGGAGCUAUUAAACUAACAAACAAAGUCUGAGAACGUGGACUGGAUUCAUCUGUCUCAGAAUAUGGUCCAGAGCCGUCCGUUAUGAGCAGAUUCUGUGCUGCUGGAGAGGAUCUGGAAGGAAGCGGUCGUGACCUAAACGAUGUACCAUCCAGGUACUUCCCCUGAUGACGUGCUUCGCGUUCCAGUUGGAAAGUUAUGCAGUCUUACACUUUGUGUGGCGUUAGGCCUUGCCUCACAUCGACUUGUUCACUUUGGAAAGUAUCGUAUUUAUGAAUUUCAUAGUUGUUCUCAGAACAUAGAGUUAAUUACAUAUUUCUUUAACGAAUCUCCUUAACUUAUCUGAACAAAUUAUUUCAUUCAGUCGAUAAGCCAUUAAAUAUGAAACUUUAAAUUACUUGUCAUUUACUGUUCUAAUCAAAAAUAUACUCAGUUAUGUUGGCAAUGAACGAGUGUGAGUUGACGGGAAUAAAGAAACAACUGCAGCCAGUA